CUACGUUGACUGGUUGGUUUGAUCUAUACGAUUUACAACUUUAAUACUUUAUUGCUUAUGCUCCACUACUUCCACUGGACUGAAGUUAAUAAAUGAGAACUAAUUUGUAUUGCCACAGGUUCAUUCAUCUAGGGCACAAAAUUCUUUUCUACUUCACCUCCUAUUGACCUCUGUGCUUUAGUUUCCUUUUCCCUUUGGGUGGACAGAAGAUUGAUCCAGUGUGGAGUGGUCUGAUUUGGGUGAGGAGCAAUUCGAUGGGAACAGGACUGGCAGCCUAGCAAGCCAGUAGCUCAAUGCUUGCAUCCUGCAGUGUAGGCACGGAAGCAUUCCUCACAACCGAACAACAACAACAACCAGCACAUGUCUGAUUGAAGCUACAUAGAUCCUCAGUGGCUAAAAGAUUAAGGAUGCCUUAAGGUCGAGAAUUUUUUCAAAUGGAGACAUGAAGUGGAGCGCAUGUAUGAGUCUUUGAUUCAAACACUUAAGACGAAGCUGUCAAAGACUACAUAUCUGUGCCCUUGAGUAGCAUUUCCUCUGCGAGUUGCUAUUUCCCAUAUUUGCAGAUGUUCAUGCGCAGGAGAAAAAUAAAUAGCAAUUGUGUCAUGCUUAACAUGUUGCCUAAUUACAUGAAUCAAAAAAAUUUCUUGACUGAUGAGUAUGGCAAAUACUGGAAAAACGUUGCAUGUGAAGCAUUUUUCUUUUGAUAGCAUGAGAAAUGCUCCAUCAUCUGUUUUUUUUCAUGCACCUGCAGUAUGAAAGAAUGUACUUCUAUAUCUAAAGUUCUCUAAUAAAUAUAAGUAAUAUAUUUGUAUGUGUUA
This is a long non-coding RNA of Panicum virgatum (switchgrass), 818 nucleotides long. RefSeq lists it as uncharacterized. NCBI's taxonomy places the organism in Eukaryota, Viridiplantae, Streptophyta, Magnoliopsida, Poales, Poaceae. The transcript is spliced from 3 exons. The record is from RefSeq and is a predicted model, not a curated record.